Molecule: ribosomal RNA, 447 nt
Filed under: uncultured bacterium
Lineage: Bacteria
Description: partial 16S ribosomal RNA
Rfam family: Bacterial small subunit ribosomal RNA
Source: RNAcentral
CCAGACUCCUACGGGAGGCAGCAGUGGGGAAUAUUGCACAAUGGGGGGAACCCUGAUGCAGCGACGCCGCGUGGGCGAGGAAGUAUUUCGGUAUGUAAAGCCCUAUCGGCAGGGAAGAAGAAAUGACGGUACCUGAAGAAGAAGCCCCGGCUAACUACGUGCCAGCAGCCGCGGUAAUACGUAGGGGGCAAGCGUUAUCCGGAUUUACUGGGUGUAAAGGGGGCGCAGACGGCGAUGCAAGCCAGGAGUGAAAGCCCGGGGCCCAACCCCGGGACUGCUCUUGGAACUGCGUGGCUGGAGUGCAGGAGGGGCAGGCGGAAUUCCUGGUGUAGCGGUGAAAUGCGUAGAUAUCAGGAGGAACACCGGUGGCGAAGGCGGCCUGCUGGACUGCAACUGACGUUGAGGCCCGAAAGCGUGGGAAGCAAACAGGAUUAGAUACCCCUGUAA